GAUGAACGCUGGCGGCGUGCCUAAUACAUGCAAGUCGAGCGAACAGACGAGGAGCUUGCUCCUCUGACGUUAGCGGCGGACGGGUGAGUAACACGUGGAUAACCUACCUAUAAGACUGGGAUAACUUCGGGAACCGGAGCUAAUACCGGAUAAUAUAUUGAACCGCAUGGUUCAAUAGUGAAAGACGGUUUUGCUGUCACUUAUAGAUGGAUCCGCGCCGCAUUAGCUAGUUGGUAAGGUAACGGCUUACCAAGGCAACGAUGCGUAGCCGACCUGAGAGGGUGAUCGGCCACACUGGAACUGAGACACGGUCCAGACUCCUACGGGAGGCAGCAGUAGGGAAUCUUCCGCAAAGGGCGAAAGCCUGACGGAGCAACGCCGCGUGAGUGAUGAAGGUCUUCGGAUCGUAAAACUCUGUUAUUAGGGAAGAACAAAUGUGUAAGUAACUAUGCACGUCUUGACGGUACCUAAUCAGAAAGCCACGGCUAACUACGUG
Molecule: ribosomal RNA, 496 nt
Filed under: uncultured bacterium
Lineage: Bacteria
Description: partial 16S ribosomal RNA
Rfam family: Bacterial small subunit ribosomal RNA
Source: RNAcentral